RNAcentral lists this transfer RNA (75 nucleotides) under Desulfurococcaceae archaeon. RNAcentral describes it as "tRNA-Arg". It matches the Rfam family "tRNA". From Rfam's summary of the family: Transfer RNA (tRNA) molecules are approximately 80 nucleotides in length. Their secondary structure includes four short double-helical elements and three loops (D, anti-codon, and T loops). RNAcentral also lists the same sequence under 1 other name. Lineage: Archaea; Thermoproteati; Thermoproteota; Thermoprotei; Desulfurococcales; Desulfurococcaceae. The record is from RNAcentral.
GGGCCCGUAGCCCAGUCAGGAUAGGGCGCCGGCCUCCGGAGCCGGAGGUCCCGGGUUCAAAUCCCGGCGGGCCCG